Molecule: unclassified non-coding RNA, 358 nt
Filed under: soil metagenome
Description: partial contains 5.8S ribosomal RNA, internal transcribed spacer 2, and large subunit ribosomal RNA
Rfam family: 5.8S ribosomal RNA (bases 1-120)
Source: RNAcentral
GAUGGAGAACGCAGCGAAAUGCGAUAAGUAAUGUGAAUUGCAGAAUUCAGUGAAUCAUCGAAUCUUUGAACGCACAUUGCGCCCGUCAGUAUUCUGGCGGGCAUGCCUGUUCGAGCGUCAUUACGCCCCUCAAGUCCCCUGUGGACUUGGUGUUGGGGAUCGGCGAGGCUGGUUUUCCAGCACAGCCGUCCCUUAAAUUAAUUGGCGGUCUCGCCGUGGCCCUCCUCUGCGCAGUAGUAAAACACUCGCAACAGGAGCCCGGCGCGGUCCACUGCCGUAAAACCCCCCAACUUUUUAUAGUUGACCUCGAAUCAGGUAGGACUACCCGCUGAACUUAAGCAUAUCAAUAAGCGGAGGA